Non-coding RNA from Chiloscyllium plagiosum (whitespotted bambooshark), 453 nucleotides. Lineage: Eukaryota; Metazoa; Chordata; Chondrichthyes; Orectolobiformes; Hemiscylliidae. The record is from RefSeq and is a predicted model, not a curated record.
AAGGCAGGUUUCAGCGCGUGGGCACAAGAGAAGCGACGUCAAUUCAGCAGAAAAUUCAAACUUAUUGUUUGUUUUGUCUCAAUUGUAUGUUCAUGUGAAGGAAUUAUUUAUUCACCUGUCUUUUGAACUUGCGGGGAUGGUAUUCCCAUGAGACAGCUGCUCUUGUCCUUCUAGAUGGGAGUGGCCGUGGGUUUGGAAGGUGCUGUCUGAGGGUCUUUGCAUCUUUGUCUAAUUUGGAAGCAGUCCAUCUAAAGCUGAGAGGAUUUCUAGUAGUUGAUAUGGAUUCAGCACGUUCAAAUUUAAGGUUAGGAUGACUGACAACCUUGAACAUUUUCAGCUGAUCAGAGUGAGCAUGGAUACAUAAAGUUUUAUUCCAGUGUCUAUGUAAACACGCAGACAGAAACAACAACCAUAUGAAAGGACACAUUACCUCAUCACAAAAUACUCUGCUUU